UUACUGCGAAGGGGGGACGGAGAAGGCUAUGUUGGCCGGGCGACGGUUGUCCCGGUUUAAGCGUGUAGGUGUGUGUUCCAGGUAAAUCCGGUUCACUUUAACACUGAGGCGUGAUGACGAGGCACUACGGUGCUGAAGCAACAAAUGCCCUGCUUCCAGGAAAAGCCUCUAAGCAUCAGGUAACAUCAAAUCGUACCCCAAACCGACACAGGUGGUCAGGUAGAGAAUACCAAGGCGCUUGAGAGAACUCGGGUGAAGGAACUAGGCAAAAUGGUGCCGUAACUUCGGGAGAAGGCACGCUGACACGUAGGUGAAGUGAUUUACUCAUGGAGCUGAAGUCAGUCGAAGAUACCAGCUGGCUGCAACUGUUUAUUAAAAACACAGCACUGUGCAAACACGAAAGUGGACGUAUACGGUGUGACGCCUGCCCGGUGCCGGAAGGUUAAUUGAUGGGGUCAGCGCAAGCGAAGCUCCUGAUCGAAGCCCCGGUAAACGGCGGCCGUAACUAUAACGGUCCUAAGGUAGCGAAAUUCCUUGUCGGGUAAGUUCCGACCUGCACGAAUGGCGUAAUGAUGGCCAGGCUGUCUCCACCCGAGACUCAGUGAAAUUGAACUCGCUGUGAAGAUGCAGUGUACCCGCGGCAAGACGGAAAGACCCCGUGAACCUUUACUAUAGCUUGACACUGAACAUUGAGCCUUGAUGUGUAGGAUAGGUGGGAGGCUUUGAAGCGUGGACGCCAGUCUGCGUGGAGCCGACCUUGAAAUACCACCCUUUAAUGUUUGAUGUUCUAACGUGGACCCGUAAUCCGGGUUGCGGACAGUGUCUGGUGGGUAGUUUGACUGGGGCGGUCUCCUCCUAAAGAGUAACGGAGGAGCACGAAGGUUGGCUAAUCCUGGUCGGACAUCAGGAGGUUAGUGCAAUGGCAUAAGCCAGCUUGACUGCGAGCGUGACGGCGCGAGCAGGUGCGAAAGCAGGUCAUAGUGAUCCGGUGGUUCUGAAUGGAAGGGCCAUCGCUCAACGGAUAAAAGGUACUCCGGGGAUAACAGGCUGAUACCGCCCAAGAGUUCAUAUCGACGGCGGUGUUUGGCACCUCGAUGUCGGCUCAUCACAUCCUGGGGCUGAAGUAGGUCCCAAGGGUAUGGCUGUUCGCCAUUUAAAGUGGUACGCGAGCUGGGUUUAGAACGUCGUGAGACAGUUCGGUCCCUAUCUGCCGUGGGCGCUGGAGAACUGAGGGGGGCUGCUCCUAGUACGAGAGGACCGGAGUGGACGCAUCACUGGUGUUCGGGUUGUCAUGCCAAUGGCACUGCCCGGUAGCUAAAUGCGGAAGAGAUAAGUGCUGAAAGCAUCUAAGCACGAAACUUGCCCCGAGAUGAGUUCUCCCUGAGACUUAGAGUCUCCUGAAGGAACGUUGAAGACGACGACGUUGAUAGGCCGGGUGUGUAAGCGCAGCGAUGCGUUGAGCUAACCGGUACUAAUGAACCGUGAGGCUUAACCUUACA
RNAcentral lists this ribosomal RNA (1499 nucleotides) under Salmonella enterica. RNAcentral's name for it is "partial 23S ribosomal RNA". It matches the Rfam family "Bacterial large subunit ribosomal RNA", at positions 1451 to 2925 of the family's 2925-position model. Lineage: Bacteria; Pseudomonadati; Pseudomonadota; Gammaproteobacteria; Enterobacterales; Enterobacteriaceae. The record is from RNAcentral.